This 72-nucleotide transfer RNA is filed under the name Ictidomys tridecemlineatus (thirteen-lined ground squirrel). RNAcentral describes it as "Spermophilus tridecemlineatus (thirteen-lined ground squirrel) tRNA". It matches the Rfam family "tRNA". Rfam says of the family: Transfer RNA (tRNA) molecules are approximately 80 nucleotides in length. Their secondary structure includes four short double-helical elements and three loops (D, anti-codon, and T loops). Further hydrogen bonds mediate the characteristic L-shaped molecular structure. tRNAs have two regions of fundamental functional importance: the anti-codon, which is responsible for specific mRNA codon recognition, and the 3' end, to which the tRNAs corresponding amino acid is attached (by aminoacyl-tRNA synthetases). tRNAs cope with the degeneracy of the genetic code in two manners: having more than one tRNA (with a specific anti-codon) for a particular amino acid; and 'wobble' base-pairing, i.e. permitting non-standard base-pairing at the 3rd anti-codon position. Lineage: Eukaryota; Metazoa; Chordata; Mammalia; Rodentia; Sciuridae. The record is from Rfam by way of RNAcentral.
UGGGUUGUAGCUCAGCGAUAGAGUGCUUGCCUAGCACCCAUGAGACACUGGGUUUGAUCCCCAGCACCACAA